This 23-nucleotide non-coding RNA is filed under the name Arabidopsis thaliana (thale cress). Lineage: Eukaryota; Viridiplantae; Streptophyta; Magnoliopsida; Brassicales; Brassicaceae. The record is from RNAcentral.
GAUAUCUACGGCGCAGAAACGGC